ACUCUGCUGAUCACUGAUUGGCCGGAGAGAAUCGUCACUACCUGCGUCACUGAACUUGCGACAAAGAGACACAACAGAACCACUAGAUUUAUCAGCACAGCCAGCGGAGGAU
Molecule: long non-coding RNA, 112 nt
Organism: Sinocyclocheilus anshuiensis
Lineage: Eukaryota; Metazoa; Chordata; Actinopteri; Cypriniformes; Cyprinidae
Exons: 3
Source: RefSeq, a predicted model, not a curated record